This 495-nucleotide ribosomal RNA is filed under the name uncultured bacterium. Its description in RNAcentral is "partial 16S ribosomal RNA". It matches the Rfam family "Bacterial small subunit ribosomal RNA", at positions 28 to 507 of the family's 1533-position model. The record is from RNAcentral.
GACGAACGCUGGCGGCGUGCCUAAUACAUGCAAGUAGAACGCUGAAGGAGGAGCUUGCUUCUCUGGAUGAGUUGCGAACGGGUGAGUAACGCGUAGGUAACCUGCCUGGUAGUGGGGGAUAACUAUUGGAAACGAUAGCUAAUACCGCAUAAUAGCAGUUGUUGCAUGAUAACUGUUUGAAAGGUGCAAUUGCACCGCUACCAGAUGGACCUGCGUUGUAUUAGCUAGUUGGUGGGGUAACGGCUCACCAAGGCGACGAUACAUAGCCGACCUGAGAGGGUGAUCGGCCACACUGGGACUGAGACACGGCCCAGACUCCUACGGGAGGCAGCAGUAGGGAAUCUUCGGCAAUGGACGGAAGUCUGACCGAGCAACGCCGCGUGAGUGAAGAAGGUUUUCGGAUCGUAAAGCUCUGUUGUAAGAGAAGAACGAGUGUGAGAGUGGAAAGUUCACACUGUGACGGUACCUUACCAGAAAGGGACGGCUAACUACGUG